UAUGUCAAACCAUGGGAAUUAAAUUGAUUGAAGGCUCCUGAAGAGCAACUAUAACUCUGCCUAAAGGAACAAUAUUUUAGAGAAUGUAAUGUUCUCCUCCAAGUCUAAGAGGAACUUGUUGAGUUUUAAUGAUAUCAGUCAAAAUAUUCUCCUCCAAGUCUAAGAGGAACUUGUUGAGUUUUAGAGAUAUCAUUCAAAAU
This 200-nucleotide long non-coding RNA is filed under the name Nicotiana benthamiana. Its description in RNAcentral is "long non-coding RNA (NBEN_LNC018790)". Lineage: Eukaryota; Viridiplantae; Streptophyta; Magnoliopsida; Solanales; Solanaceae. The record is from RNAcentral.